GAUGAACGCUGGCGGCGUGCUUAACACAUGCACGUCGAACGAUGAAGACCGUGCUUGCACGGUUGGAUUAGUGGCGAACGGGUGAGUAUCACGUGAGUAACCUUCCCUUAACUCUGGGAUAAGCCCGGGAAACUGGGUCUAAUACCGGAUACGACCAGUCCUCGCAUGGGGUGCUGGUGGAAAGAUUUAUCGGUUUUGGAUGGACUCGCGGCCUAUCAGCUUGUUGGUGAGGUAAAGGCUCACCAAGGCGAUGACGGGUAGCCGGCCUGAGAGGGUGACCGGCCACACUGGGACUGAGACACGGCCCAGACUCCUACGGGAGGCAGCAGUGGGGAAUAUUGCACAAUGGGCGAAAGCCUGAUGCAGCGACGCCGCGUGCGGGAUGACGGCCUUCGGGUUGUAAACCGCUUUCAGCAGGGAAGAAGCGCAAGUGACGGUACCUGCAGAAGAAGCGCCGGCUAACUACGUGCCAGCAGCCGCGGUAAUACGUAGGGCGCGAGCGUUAUCCGGAAUUAUUGGGCGUAAAGAGCUCGUAGGCGGUUUGUCACGUCUGCUGUGAAAGCCCGGGGCUCAACCCCGGGUGUGCAGUGGGUACGGGCAGACUAGAGUGCAGUAGGGGAGACUGGAAUUCCUGGUGUAGCGGUGAAAUGCGCAGAUAUCAGGAGGAACACCGAUGGCGAAGGCAGGUCUCUGGGCUGUUACUGACGCUGAGGAGCGAAAGCAUGGGGAGCGAACAGGAUUAGAUACCCUGGUAGUCCAUGCCGUAAACGUUGGGCACUAGGUGUGGGGAACAUUCCACGUUUUCCGCGCCGUAGCUAACGCAUUAAGUGCCCCGCCUGGGGAGUACGGCCGCAAGGCUAAAACUCAAAGGAAUUGACGGGGGCCCGCACAAGCGGCGGAGCAUGCGGAUUAAUUCGAUGCAACGCGAAGAACCUUACCAAGGCUUGACAUGGACCGGACCGCUGCAGAGAUGCAGUUUCCCUUCGGGGUCGGUUCACAGGUGGUGCAUGGUUGUCGUCAGCUCGUGUCGUGAGAUGUUGGGUUAAGUCCCGCAACGAGCGCAACCCCUAUCCUAUGUUGCCAGCACGUUAUGGUGGGGACUCAUGGGAGACUGCCGGGGUCAACUCGGAGGAAGGUGGGGACGACGUCAAAUCAUCAUGCCCCUUAUGUCUUGGGCUUCACGCAUACUACAAUGGCCGGUACAAUGGGUUGCGAUACUGUGAGGUGGAGCUAAUCCCUAAAAGCCGGUCUCAGUUCGGAUCGAAGUCUGCAACUCGACUUCGUGAAGUUGGAGUCGCUAGUAAUCGCAGAUCAGCAACGCUGCGGUGAAUACGUUCCCGGGCCUUGUACACACCGCCCGUCAAGUCACGAAAGUGGGUAACACCCGAAGCCGGUGGCCUAACCCUUGUGGGGGGAGCCGUCGAAGGUGGGACUCGCGAUUGGGACU
Molecule: ribosomal RNA, 1447 nt
Filed under: Nesterenkonia halotolerans
Lineage: Bacteria; Bacillati; Actinomycetota; Actinomycetes; Micrococcales; Micrococcaceae
Description: bacterial SSU rRNA
Rfam family: Bacterial small subunit ribosomal RNA
Source: RNAcentral